RNAcentral lists this long non-coding RNA (1088 nucleotides) under Homo sapiens (human). RNAcentral's name for it is "HSALNT0322697". The record is from RNAcentral. Lineage: Eukaryota; Metazoa; Chordata; Mammalia; Primates; Hominidae.
AUGAAAGCAAACUAGAAGGCUUUCCCAUUUUUACUUGGGACAAGAUAGUGAUAAAUACUGGGAAAGGCUGAGACACUGUUUUAGCAAGUCCUCCAAGACUGCCCUAUUUUUAGCUCCAUGGCUGUGGAGCUGAUUCAGGUCAGGCCUCCGGCAGGCCCAAAUCCGUAAGUGUAAAAAGGAAAUGGCCUAUCUAAAUCAGAUAAUUUGGAGAGAAAGACCAAAAUCCUAACUCGAGUCUCCUCCCCGUCUUUAAAAACUGCCACUUAGAUUAUUUACUUUGAUUCCUUCUUAGAAAUGAUGAGUAUUUGUGAUUUUAUAGGAGAAAUUGUUGGCAAAAAAUAUAAAUUAUUGGUACACAUUUUAAAAGGGAAGCCUGACGCUGGUAUUACUUCCUUUUUCCCACACACACACACUUUGCCUUUGGCGAUGAUGGCUAUAACUGUAGCCUACUGAAUAACUGAACUUCCCCCAAAGUUCAAGGUCUUCAGCUAAGCUCAUCAGACUAAAACUGAGUCACAUAACUGGGAAGGGUAGUCCCUUAUGCCUAACCUAAACCCCAUUACAAAAUACAAUAAAAUGUGUUACCUGAUGUAACAAAGAGUUCUUAGUGUAAACUAGCUCUUGCCCCUUUUCUACUUAAAAACAGAGAUCCCACUAUAAUAAAAGAGGCUUCUGUAUAAUCAAGGCCACCGAGUAUCUAUGGUAUGCACUACGGAAAUCAGGCACACCCUUCUGCUUCAAUAUAAACUAGGACUCAAGAUAACUCAAAUCCAAGCUUCUGGAGGUGCUGAGGAGUCCAAGGAAGCAGGACAGACAGAGAUUCAGAAAAUUCACAAAUGGGGCAGACUAUUUACCUACUAACAAUAAGGACCGGAGGCAGUGGGUGGCUGUGAACAUACCCCACAGCAACACUGAAAAUGAGAAACGGACAGAGCCUGGUUUGGGGAGCUUUUGGAAGAAUUUUUCAAUGACAAUGUCCGCAACAUAAAGCAACGGUUUGUGUCCGUUAAAUCAAUUUCUUGUUUUAAAGAAAGAUUUUACGCUACCUAUGGUAAAUAAAUGGCUUGCCUUUCAAUGUUUAAAAAUGA